GGUCAGGGCUCAGCUGGAUCCCAGACUCAGACAGGAGCCCGAGGUGGACCCCUGGCCAGGGUGAGGUAGAAAGGAAACUUCUCCCACUACCUUCUCCAGAGUCCCCAUGACCCUAAGGUCACAUGUGGCUUUGAACAUCACUAACAUAGCAGCUCCAUAAAGAAUGCUCCCGCCGCAGCAGGAGAAAAAGGAGAAAAGUCACAUGCACUGCUGUUCUGC
This 219-nucleotide long non-coding RNA is filed under the name Homo sapiens (human). RNAcentral describes it as "HSALNT0278436". Lineage: Eukaryota; Metazoa; Chordata; Mammalia; Primates; Hominidae. The record is from RNAcentral.